Molecule: transfer RNA, 92 nt
Filed under: Verrucomicrobium spinosum DSM 4136 = JCM 18804
Lineage: Bacteria; Pseudomonadati; Verrucomicrobiota; Verrucomicrobiia; Verrucomicrobiales; Verrucomicrobiaceae
Description: tRNA-Ser (GCT) (tRNA-Ser-GCT-1-1)
Rfam family: tRNA
About the family: Transfer RNA (tRNA) molecules are approximately 80 nucleotides in length.
Source: RNAcentral
GGAGAGAUGGCUGAGUGGUCGAAAGCACAUCUUUGCUAAAGAUGCGUAGCCUUUAACAGCUACCGAGGGUUCGAAUCCCUCUCUCUCCGCCA